RNAcentral lists this ribosomal RNA (322 nucleotides) under uncultured Chloroflexota bacterium. RNAcentral describes it as "bacterial SSU rRNA". It matches the Rfam family "Bacterial small subunit ribosomal RNA", at positions 28 to 351 of the family's 1533-position model. The record is from RNAcentral. Lineage: Bacteria; Bacillati; Chloroflexota.
GAUGAACGCUGGCGGCGUGCUUAAUACAUGCAAGUCGAACGGAGGAUGUAGUAAUACGUCCUUAGUGGCGAACGGGUGAGUAACGCGUUGGUGACCUGCCCCGAAGUGUGGGAUAACAGUUCGAAAGGACUGCUAAUACCUCAUGUGCUCAUUGGGAUUAGAUGCCUGAUGAUGAAAGGCGAAAGUCGCUUCGGGAGGGACCUGCGUCCCAUCAGCUAGUUGGUAGGGUAACGGCCUACCAAGGCGAUGACGGGUAGGGGACCUGAGAGGGUGGCCCCCCACAAUGGAACUGAAACACGGUCCAUACACCUACGGGUGGCUG